RNAcentral lists this ribosomal RNA (729 nucleotides) under uncultured fungus. Its description in RNAcentral is "eukaryotic LSU rRNA". The stretch from base 329 to 482 matches the Rfam family "5.8S ribosomal RNA". Lineage: Eukaryota; Fungi. The record is from RNAcentral.
UCUUGGUCAUUUAGAGGAAGUAAAAGUCGUAACAAGGUUUCCGUAGGUGAACCUGCGGAAGGAUCAUUAUUGAAUAAAACAUUUGAUAGGCUGUUGCUGGCUCUUCUAGAGUAAUGUGCACGCUUGUCAUUAUUUUUGUUUUUUCCACCUGUGCACCUUUUUGUAGACCUUGGAGAAUUGUCUCGAUAGAUUUCUUGGGGACUGCUGUGCCUUUUGAAUGAAGGGCCAGCUUUCCCUUGUCUCUCUAGGUUCUAUGUUAUUCACAUACUCCUAUGAAUGUAAUAGAAUGUUGAUCUGGGCCCUUUUAGUGCCCAUAAAGUUUUUAUACAACUUUCAGCAAUGGAUCUCUUGGCUCUCGCAUCGAUGAAGAACGCAGCGAAAUGCGAUAAGUAAUGUGAAUAGCAGAAUUCAGUGAAUCAUCGAAUCUUUGAACGCAUCUUGCGCUCCUUGGUAUUCUGAGGAGCAUGCCUGUUUGAGUGUCAUUAAAUUCUCAACCACACUGAUUAUGAUUAGUGUGGCUUGGAUAUGGGGAUUGUGGGCUUCUCUGUAGUCCACUGCUCUGAAAUUAAUUAGCAGUACUUUGGUGGAACUGUCUACAGGUGUGAUAAUUAUCUACAUCCCUAGACAUCUGCUGCAACUGCUUUCUAAAAAACCUUGCUUGUAUUGACAAUCUUGACCUCAAAUCAGGUAGGACUACCCGCUGAACUUAAGCAUAUCAUAAGCGGAGGA